RNAcentral lists this long non-coding RNA (509 nucleotides) under Helianthus annuus (common sunflower). Its description in RNAcentral is "sRNA HanXRQr2_Chr16g0778321". The record is from RNAcentral. Lineage: Eukaryota; Viridiplantae; Streptophyta; Magnoliopsida; Asterales; Asteraceae.
UAAAUUUUAGAACAACCGACAACAUGAGUGCAAUAUUUAUGCAGCGAAAUAGAAUAUUAAUCCAACUUCAAAAGUGUUUUUAACUUCUGCGUCGUCAACAACCAUCUGCUUGGAUGAUUCCUCUAUCUCUUACCCGAGUUACGCUACGUUGUUAUCAAAUCGUUGUCUCUGUUCGAUCCGCCUUGGGCAAGUUGACCGGGCGUUAACUGAUGCACAAGCGUGUAGGGAAUUGAGACCCAACUGGCAGAAAGCUUGGUAUAGAGAGGGUUCAGCUUUGCGUUUGAUGCAGGCAUGCACUGUUCUUCAUUUAAUCUAAAAUAUUUUUCUUAGUUUUUUUGAGUAAAAUGUCAAUUUCGCCCAAACAAGGCGCAAACAAGCCCACAUUGGGUUGGAUAUACACUCCUGUUAUUAGGCAUUUGUUCCUAAUUAGUUGUCAUAUUUAAGGAAGUUGUUACAUGGAAGAAUCACUUCAAAUGGCCGACAGGACAUUGAGCAAGUUGCUUGGCUAA